This 362-nucleotide long non-coding RNA is filed under the name Micromonas commoda. Its description in RNAcentral is "long non-coding RNA (MCOM_LNC000341)". The record is from RNAcentral. Lineage: Eukaryota; Viridiplantae; Chlorophyta; Mamiellophyceae; Mamiellales; Mamiellaceae.
UACGUGCGUUGCAAGAAGAUCCCGGGCGGGCACUGCGACCAAUCCGGGGUGGUGGAGCGGUGCGGGGAGAUGUUCGCCAAGAACGUGGCGCACAAGCGCAUGCCCUCGGUUCGUCAAGGGAACGUUCGGGUCGUCCUCCUGCGCGGGGCGCUGGAGUACCAACGCGCCAACGCCGCGCCUCGGCUCUCGUCUUUGGACACGUUGCUGGACCAGGAGCACGAGCACCUGCGCGGGGCGGUGGCCAGGAUAAACGGAGUAAAAGCGGACGUCCUCGUGGUGGAGCGAACGGUGGCGAGGUUCGCUCGUGAGCUGCUGCUGGAGCGAGGGGUGAGUUUGGUAAUCAACGUCAAGUCGAGUUGCGU